AAGUCGUAACAAGGUCUCCGUAGGUGAACCUGCGGAGGGAUCAUUAACACGUGUCACCACGUAUCCCCAUACUCAUCAACCACGCGUGAACCCGAAACAACUCCCUUCACAGGACAGGACGAUUGAACAAUCAUCAGGGUGGAGUCUGACAACAGCGAAAAAGGCAUCGACCCUCGGUCUGGCGGACUAUGACUCGAUCUAGAGGCUCUUUGAGGCCUCAAUCCACUGUGAAGCGUAAUUGCGACCACCUGGCAGACUGCACCCGAAAGGUCACUGCAGCGUUCUGCCGAAUGUAUUAACCCACACACUUUAAAAUCCCUUUAACACAUAACACUAAACUGAACCUUAUUCAUGUGGGCUGUGCGUUUCGCCUUCUCCACCACUGAAUGAUAUACGUAAUGCUGAACAACUCUUAGCAAUGGAUAUCUUGGUUCUC
This 436-nucleotide unclassified non-coding RNA is filed under the name fungal sp. RNAcentral's name for it is "partial internal transcribed spacer region". The stretch from base 1 to 46 matches the Rfam family "Eukaryotic small subunit ribosomal RNA", at positions 1786 to 1831 of the family's 1831-position model. Lineage: Eukaryota; Fungi. The record is from RNAcentral.